CUUUAAUAUGACAAAAACAUUAUCUCAUGCGAUAAAUACAAAUUUUCAAUUGAAUCGGAUAAACUAUAAACGAAUACAUCAAUGGACUUACGCGAGGAGUGAAAGAAUUUCUCGUCGAAUUCGUCGUCUACGACGAAGAGUUAGAGAGCAUAUCUUCCUCUUCGGUCAAUUCUUCAUUAUGUAACAUACGUUUCAUAUAGCUGUUCGAUAUAAAUUAGUGGUCAUAUUAUAUCGUUUAUCAAUGCCAGCGGAGGUGUCAGAACGUGCGCUCUCGGGAUCAGGUGAUUACACAUAAUGGGUACCGCGCCCGAGUCUUUUAACUCUUGUCACAAGGUGAAUUUCCAAUUUAAUUAAUAUAAUUUUCUAUUUUAAA
Long non-coding RNA from Bombyx mori (domestic silkworm), 373 nucleotides. RefSeq lists it as uncharacterized. The record is from RefSeq and is a predicted model, not a curated record. The transcript has 2 exons. NCBI's taxonomy places the organism in Eukaryota, Metazoa, Arthropoda, Insecta, Lepidoptera, Bombycidae.